This is a non-coding RNA of Grammomys surdaster, 408 nucleotides long. NCBI's taxonomy places the organism in Eukaryota, Metazoa, Chordata, Mammalia, Rodentia, Muridae. The record is from the annotation of a RefSeq genome assembly.
CUGUGCUGGAGUCAGCCUCACACAGAUCACACACAGACAUGAGUGUGCCCACUCAGCUCCUGGGGUUCCUGCUGGUGUGGCUUACAGGUGCCAGAUGUGACAUCCAGAUGACUCAGUCUCCAGCCUCCCUGGCUGCAUCUGUGGGAGAAAGUGUCACCAUCACAUGUCAAGCAAGUCAAAACAUUAACAGUUAUUUAGCAUGGUAUCAGCAGAAACCAGGGGAAUCUCCUAAGCUCCUGAUCUAUAAGGCAAACAGCUUGCAUGAUGGUGUCCCAUCGAGGUUCAGUGGCAGUGGAUCUGGCACACAGUUUUCUCUCAAGAUCAACAGCCUGCAGCCUGAAGAUAUCGCAGAUUAUUACUGUCAACAAGGUUAUACUCCUCCCACAGUGAUUCAAGCCUUGACAUAAA